Molecule: ribosomal RNA, 292 nt
Filed under: uncultured bacterium
Lineage: Bacteria
Description: partial 16S ribosomal RNA
Rfam family: Bacterial small subunit ribosomal RNA
Source: RNAcentral
AGAGUUUGAUCAUGGCUCAGGAUAAACGCUGGCGGCGCACAUAAGACAUGCAAGUCGAACGGACUUAAUCGAUUCUUUUAGAUUCGAAGCGGUUAGUGGCGGACUGGUGAGUAACACGUAAGCAACCUGCCUAUUAGAGGGGAAUAACAGUGAGAAAUCACUGCUAAAACCGCAUAUGCCGUGAACAUCGCAUGAUGAAAACGGGAAAAGAGCAAUCUGCUAAUAGAUGGGCUUGCGUCUGAUUAGCUAGUUGGUGUGGUAAUGGCAUACCAAGGCAACGAUCAGUAGCCGG